RNAcentral lists this long non-coding RNA (871 nucleotides) under Capra hircus (goat). RNAcentral describes it as "lncRNA (ENSCHIG00000007373.1)". The record is from RNAcentral. Lineage: Eukaryota; Metazoa; Chordata; Mammalia; Artiodactyla; Bovidae.
GCGGGUUCGGUUUUCAGCACCAAAUGCUCCUGGAUCCAUAAUAAGCAACCACAAAUACAGACAACAAAUGACUGUGUUUAUCAUUGUCUCUUCUUGGGUAAAGAAUUGCUCUUUAGUAAACACUCAUUACACACUUGCAGCAUUCAACAGGAAAGUGGCUCAGAAAUGUGAGCAGAGAUAAAGGACGCUUAACCCUCCAUCUCCCAGAGCUGAGGACCAGCGUGGGUUCCAACUGCAGCUCAAAUAGAACUGGAGUGAGGAUGCCUGCUUCGAACGCAUGAAAAGCUAUCAAGAAGAAGGCAUCACAGCUUUCUGGAGGAGACAGUACCUGAUGCAGCAUUUUCCGAGAUCAGAGUCACCCUGUUGCACUGUGCCUGCAGGCCAGUCUUUAGGGUCUGGAAAGUGCCCUUUGGCUCAUGGACGUCAUGCCCUUUGGCUACCCUGUACAGCUGUUGGACCGGCCACCUCCUGAGCCAUAGCAGCCAACUGCCAACCAAACCAAGAGCAGAGGCAUUGACAUUGGAACCCUUUGGAAAUGGAACUUUUGAGAAGUUUGGGCAUCUUUCUUUUACCUGCUCUUUAAACCAAGCAGUCAAGUCUGAAUGCUUCUUCUCUGUUAUAAACUCAUAUUCCUGCCUCAUAUCCUCCAGGACCUUAAUCAGAUCUUCUCCCGGGGCUGCAUCCAACUUCAUGUUGACCUUGAAGUCAUCUGGGACAUGAUGUUUCCCCAUCUCCUCUCUAAUAACAGAGAGAGAAAAUGAAUUGGCUGUGACCAUCAGAAGGCCAGAAGUGUGUUGACGGGCAGCAGUUCACAGAUCUAUUAAGAAAAAGAACCAGCUUAUGUGGUUGUCGCUCUUUUACUGGUUUGAUU